RNAcentral lists this ribosomal RNA (552 nucleotides) under Lythrypnus dalli (bluebanded goby). Its description in RNAcentral is "partial 16S ribosomal RNA". It matches the Rfam family "Bacterial large subunit ribosomal RNA", at positions 1912 to 2613 of the family's 2925-position model. The record is from RNAcentral. Lineage: Eukaryota; Metazoa; Chordata; Actinopteri; Gobiiformes; Gobiidae.
GUAAAUACUUUAACGGCCGCGGUAUACUGACCGUGCAAAGGUAGCGUAAUCACUUGUCUUUUAAAUGAAGGCCCGUAUGAAUGGCAAGACGAGGGCCUAUCUGUCUCCUUUUUUAACUCAAUGAAAUUGAUCUGCCCGUGCAGAAGCGGACAUAAAUACAUAAGACGAGAAGACCCUAUGGAGCUUUAGACCCAGGACAGCCCCAACACUAACUACCACAUAAAUACACCCUCAAACCCAACAAAAUAAAGCGUCUGUCCCCCUGUCUUUGGUUGGGGCGACCAUGGGGAAAAACAAAACCCCCACGAGGAACGGGAAGCCUUCCUUAAAAGCUGGGCCACAGCCCUACUUCACAGAAAGAUCUGACCUUAUGAUCCGGCAAAGCCGAUCAACGGACCCAGUUACCCUAGGGAUAACAGCGCAAUCCUCUUCCAGAGCCCUUAUCGACAAGAGGGUUUACGACCUCGAUGUUGGAUCAGGACCUCCUACUGGUGUAGCCGCUAUUAAGGGUUCGUUUGUUCAACGAUUAAAGUCCUACGUGAUCUGAGUUCA